Molecule: unclassified non-coding RNA, 245 nt
Filed under: soil metagenome
Description: partial contains small subunit ribosomal RNA, internal transcribed spacer 1, and 5.8S ribosomal RNA
Source: RNAcentral
UCUCCGUUGGUGAACCAGCGGAGGGAUCAUUACUGAGUUUACCGCUCUAUAACCCUUUGUGAACAUACCUUACUGUUGCUUCGGCGGGCAGGACGGCGGCCUCGGCCCCGGCCUCCCGGCCUCCGCCCCCUCUGCGGGGCGGCGGGCGCCCGCCGGAGGAUAACCAAACUCUGUUUUAACGUCGUCUCUUCUGAGUGGCACAAGCAAAUAAAUAAAAACUUUUAACAACGGAUCUCUUGGUUCUG